Molecule: long non-coding RNA, 1016 nt
Organism: Vicia villosa (hairy vetch)
Lineage: Eukaryota; Viridiplantae; Streptophyta; Magnoliopsida; Fabales; Fabaceae
Exons: 6
Source: RefSeq, a predicted model, not a curated record
GAAAAAUUAAUGUAUCGGGAAAAAUGAGAAACACAAUAAUAAAAUAGUGGUAAAAUGAAUUCGGCAUGUUAGCAUGUUUCGUUCACUUUUUACAAUGCGAGUCAAGAUUUUAGAUACUCCUUCAAAUAUAAACAGUCUUCUUCUUCCUCGCAAGUUCUCAACCAGUACUCCUCCUCUCACUCCCUCCGCCGUUCUCAACCACUCCCCGUCCCUCCGUCGUCGUCUCACUCUCACGCCACCGCCGCCGCCGCCGCCGGUCUGUGGGAUUUUAGGGUUUUCUUGGUCAAAAUCAACACUUCUUGCUUCAUCCAACCCAUUAUUAAGGUGCAGGCUUUGCGUCUUUCUUUGACAGUUAGAAACACGAUAGUGUCAUUUCACGUUGGUCUAGAGCUAGAAUAAGACUUGCUAAGAAUCUGAAUCUCUAAAAGAAAAUUGCUUAACCUUGUUCCCAAUAUAUCACCACUCUUCUUUCUCCUUAGUUCAGGUUAAAUGGCUCCGGAUAGAGAUGCUCCACCUGAAAACUCACAAGAAAGAGAUGCUCAAGAAAGAGAUGCCACGGAUACAAAUGCUCCACCUGAUACUGAAGCAAAAGAAGUUGCACGAGGCAUCACUAUCAUGAAGGGAAUCGUUCGACAUAGAGACCAAGGAUUAGUAUACCGAUUGGAAUGGAAUUCUGAUAAACAAGCAAUUGGUCCUAAUUCUGCAAAGUUGACAAGUUAUAUUGGUACACUUGUUCGUAUGCAUAUUCCGGUCUCCGUAGCUAGAUGAAAUCUGAAAAGCGAAGACUUGGAUGCGGAAAAAAAAAGCGAUUUGGGACGAGCUUCAGAGGACUUUUGAGAUACCAGAUGAUCGUAGACGCUACAUACUUGGUUUGGCCGGCAAAAGAUAUAGAGGGUGGAAAGCUUUUUUGACAAACACUUAUCUUAAGGAUAAAGAUGGAAACUUUCUUGAAGAGGCACCGGGACGGCCAAAAAAGUAUGAGAUCUUCAUUGGUGAAGAAGAUUGGGCUAAGUUUG